ACAUCUAAUAGUUUUACUGUAUAGAUACUUUGCCCAACAAAAAAAAUUACAUGUAUCUUAUUCAAAUUUUGUUGUAUUACCAAUCAAUAUUUUGAUUAUUAUGUUAUAAUUUUAAAAAACCAGCAGUUUGUUGCUAAUAUAAAUAGAGAAAAAUUUGAUUUAUUUGCUACUGAUUAAAUUACAAAAUUCUUAAAAUAGAUUGUAUUUAGCAUCUGGUUCAUGUAAAUAUAAUAUUAUUAAUUUCUCACGCUCUAGGGUACCUUCAAAAUUGCAUAGGCAAAGGUAAACUCUAUCAGACUCGUAAUAAUAUGUACUAUACGUAUCCACCAUGUCUUAUUUGUAAACGUUCACUUUGUGUUCAAUAUUUACAUUUUAAAACUUGUUUAAAUUCAUUUUACUGUGUGGUUAGAAAUCCCUAAAGCAGCUGAAUAUUUGCAUACAGAUCGUCCAGGGGAUUUCAAUAGCACCGCCCUUAUCCUCUCGAUGUUUUCAGACGGUUAUGGAAGGUCCAUUAUGUGUAUGUAUUCUUCUGAACAUGUCCACCCAUAAGUAAAUCGAUAUUGAAUUGUUUCCUUAAUGCACGCUGAGUUGUGCUCCUCAUUCGUCUACUGCACGAUGGACACUAAACUAACCUCUAAAAAAAUUUAGAUCACACGCUUUCGAACUCACCAUAGGAACAUACUCUAGGAGUAACAGUCGCUUUGUAGUGUGAGUUUCAAAUAAAGAAGUGACCCUGCCCCACUCUGUAUUUUGUUUUAAGUUUUAAGUCUAGUAAGAAUGGUAAUAUCUACCGAUUUAAUCUCACUUUUGUUAUGAUUGUAGUAAUUUUAAUAUAAAAUCAUAGAUUCAAUUAUUCUUUUUUUUUUUUAAUAGCCAAUAGGUAAUGCAGUGUGAUAUCAAUAGUUUUCAUAGUUUAUCUGUCUUAAUCAACAAAAAUUGUAUUCCAAAAAUUAUUAUAACAUAUGUUGUCAGUAAGAUUGGAAAAAAAUAAUUUACUAUGUAUAAAAUAUAUUUACAUUUGGUAACCUUUAAAACAAAAAAAAAAUACA
Non-coding RNA from Cinara cedri, 1049 nucleotides. NCBI's taxonomy places the organism in Eukaryota, Metazoa, Arthropoda, Insecta, Hemiptera, Aphididae. The record is from the annotation of a GenBank genome assembly.